CCUCCCAUUCAUUUGCUGCCGUUGUCUUUCAGUAAUACGAGCAGUUAUACGCAUGGGAUAAAGUAGCCUUGGGCCAUUGUAAAUUGAGCUGGAGUGACUUUUUCAUCUCUUCUACAUGGUCUAGACAUUG
Molecule: small nucleolar RNA, 130 nt
Organism: Manis pentadactyla (Chinese pangolin)
Lineage: Eukaryota; Metazoa; Chordata; Mammalia; Pholidota; Manidae
Product: small nucleolar RNA SNORA20
Exons: 1
Source: RefSeq, a predicted model, not a curated record